GCCAGCAGACAUACCAUCUGCACCUCAGACUAGGUAAUCCACCUGAAGCUAAGCGGGUUUGGGCCUGGCCACUACUUGGAGAGGAGACCAACUAGGAAAGCUGUGUUGCUGCUGGAA
RNAcentral lists this ribosomal RNA (117 nucleotides) under Paramormyrops kingsleyae. Lineage: Eukaryota; Metazoa; Chordata; Actinopteri; Osteoglossiformes; Mormyridae. The record is from RNAcentral.